GAUCCUGGCUCAGGAUGAACGCUAGCGACAGGCUUAACACAUGCAAGUCGAGGGGCAGCACGGGGUAGCAAUACCCCGGUGGCGACCGGCGCACGGGUGAGUAACACGUGUGCAACCAACCCCGUACCGGGAGAUAACCCGCGGAAACGUGGAUUAACACCCCAUAACACCUUUCCCCCGCAUGGGGGGGAGUUUAAAACCCCGGUGGUACGGGACGGGCACGCGCGACAUUAGGUAGUUGGCGGGGUAACGGCCCACCAAGCCGACGAUGUCUAGGGGUU
Molecule: ribosomal RNA, 281 nt
Filed under: uncultured bacterium
Lineage: Bacteria
Description: partial 16S ribosomal RNA
Rfam family: Bacterial small subunit ribosomal RNA
Source: RNAcentral